Molecule: ribosomal RNA, 449 nt
Filed under: uncultured organism
Description: partial 16S ribosomal RNA
Rfam family: Bacterial small subunit ribosomal RNA
Source: RNAcentral
GUACACUCCUGCGGGAGGCAGCAGUGGGGAAUAUUGGACAAUGGGCGCAAGCCUGAUCCAGCCAUGCCGCGUGAGUGAUGAAGGCCCUAGGGUUGUAAAGCUCUUUCACCGGAGAAGAUAAUGACGGUAUCCGGAGAAGAAGCCCCGGCUAACUUCGUGCCAGCAGCCGCGGUAAUACGAAGGGGGCUAGCGUUGUUCGGAAUUACUGGGCGUAAAGCGCACGUAGGCGGAUCGAUCAGUCAGGGGUGAAAUCCCAGGGCUCAACCCUGGAACUGCCUUUGAUACUGUCGAUCUGGAGUAUGGAAGAGGUGAGUGGAAUUCCGAGUGUAGAGGUGAAAUUCGUAGAUAUUCGGAGGAACACCAGUGGCGAAGGCGGCUCACUGGUCCAUUACUGACGCUGAGGUGCGAAAGCGUGGGGAGCAAACAGGAUUAGAUACCCCAGUAGUCCC